This 468-nucleotide ribosomal RNA is filed under the name uncultured bacterium. RNAcentral's name for it is "partial 16S ribosomal RNA". It matches the Rfam family "Bacterial small subunit ribosomal RNA", at positions 28 to 507 of the family's 1533-position model. The record is from RNAcentral.
GACGAACGCUGGCGGCGUGCUUAACACAUGCCAGUCGAACGGAAAGGCCCUGCUUUUGUGGGGUGCUCGAGUGGCGAACGGGUGAGUAACACGUGAGUAACCUGCCCUUGACUUUGGGAUAACUUCAGGAAACUGGGGCUAAUACCGGAUAGGAGCUCCUGCUGCAUGGUGGGGGUUGGAAAGUUUCGGCGGUUGGGGAUGGACUCGCGGCUUAUCAGCUUGUUGGUGGGGUAGUGGCUUACCAAGGCUUUGACGGGUAGCCGGCCUGAGAGGGGGACCGGCCACAAUGGGACUGAGAGACGGAGCAGACGCCUACGGGAGGCAGCAGGGGGGAAUAUUGCACAAUGGGCGGAAGCCUGAUGCAGCAACGCCGCGUGCGGGAUGACGGCCUUCGGGUUGUAAACCGCUGUCGCCGGUGACGAAGCGUGAGUGACGGUAAUGGGUAAAGAAGCACCGGCUAACUACGUG